GCUGGACUAGAAGAUUUCGCGAGACGAGGUGAGAGCAGGGUUUGAUUGGAACGAAGAGAAAGGCAAGAAUUACUAGAAGAAAAUGACAAUUGGGAGGAGAAGAGCUUAGAGGAAUUAGCAGAGGCAGAAGAAGGCGGACAAACAGUAGCAUACGGUGGCGGGGGCUGUUGGGGGGUGCCGGCCACCUUCAAAAUGACACCGCAGGAGGGGAUAGCUGCCUGCCAUAUCUAUGACCUCCCACCGUCUAAGCGCAGACUAGUGGUCGAAGAUAGACAGAGGUGAGAGUGUUUAUUUGGCUGAUUG
RNAcentral lists this unclassified non-coding RNA (303 nucleotides) under Hevea brasiliensis (rubber tree). The record is from RNAcentral. Lineage: Eukaryota; Viridiplantae; Streptophyta; Magnoliopsida; Malpighiales; Euphorbiaceae.